GAUGAGCGCUGGCGGCGUGCCUAAUACAUGCAAGUCGAGCGAAUGGAUUAAGAGCUUGCUCUUAUGAAGUUAGCGGCGGACGGGUGAGUAACACGUGGGUAACCUGCCCAUAAGACUGGGAUAACUCCGGGAAACCGGGGCUAAUACCGGAUAACAUUUUGAACCGCAUGGUUCGAAAUUGAAAGGCGGCUUCGGCUGUCACUUAUGGAUGGACCCGCGUCACAUUAGCUAGUUGGUGAGGUAACGGCUCACCAAGGCAACGAUGCGUAGCCGAGCGGAGAGGGUGAUCGGCCACACUGGGACUGAGACACGGCCCAGACUCCUACGGGAGGCAGCAGUAGGGAAUCUUCCGCAAUGGACGAAAGUCUGACGGAGCAACGCCGCGUGAGUGACGAAGGCUUUCGGGUCGUAAAACUCUGUUGUUAGGGAAGAACAAGUGCUAGUUGAAUAAGCUGGCACCUUGACGGUACCUAACCAGAAAGCCACGGCUAACUACGUGCCAGCCGCCGCAGUAA
Molecule: ribosomal RNA, 515 nt
Filed under: uncultured bacterium
Lineage: Bacteria
Description: partial 16S ribosomal RNA
Rfam family: Bacterial small subunit ribosomal RNA
Source: RNAcentral